GCUUUCUUGGUGUAGUUGGUUAUCACAUCUGCCUCACACGCAGAAGGCCGCCAGUUCGAACCUGGCAGAAAGCA
This 74-nucleotide transfer RNA is filed under the name Geranomyces variabilis. RNAcentral's name for it is "tRNA-Val". It matches the Rfam family "tRNA". Rfam says of the family: Transfer RNA (tRNA) molecules are approximately 80 nucleotides in length. Lineage: Eukaryota; Fungi; Chytridiomycota; Chytridiomycetes; Spizellomycetales; Powellomycetaceae. The record is from RNAcentral.